GAAGGUACAGCUCAGUGGUAGAGGGCGUGCCUCGCAAGCACCAGGUCCUGGGUUCAAGCCCCAGUACCUCCA
Molecule: transfer RNA, 72 nt
Filed under: Camelus bactrianus (Bactrian camel)
Lineage: Eukaryota; Metazoa; Chordata; Mammalia; Artiodactyla; Camelidae
Also listed under: 1 other name
Rfam family: tRNA
About the family: Transfer RNA (tRNA) molecules are approximately 80 nucleotides in length.
Source: Rfam by way of RNAcentral